Molecule: non-coding RNA, 1741 nt
Organism: Equus caballus (horse)
Lineage: Eukaryota; Metazoa; Chordata; Mammalia; Perissodactyla; Equidae
Source: RefSeq, a predicted model, not a curated record
CCUCUCCCACCAUCAAGCACAGCCGCCAGCGGCGGGCCGGGCGCGCUCCCUGGUGGCCGCACGGGGAAGAGUCCGGGCUGAGGGCCCGCGCCGCCGCCUUCCUCGCCGCAUAUCUUCCACCGCCGCGGCUCAUCCUGCUGAUUCCGCAGAACGUAACAAGAAAUUUGGAGUAAGACCGUCCAGAGUUUUUCUGAAGCUGCUUACCAGCCGUGUGACCGUGGCCACUCCGUCUAUGGCAUUUUGUUACGGCAGCCCAAGCUGAGACAACAUAGAACGUUCUCAGAGUUAACCCACCCGGACGGUGAGGAAGCUGGGUGGUUAACUCAAUUCUCAUUUGUCGUUGGUCAAGGAAUGUUCCCAAGGGCACUAACUCCUGGCACUGUGGCUUGCACCGUGCAGGGGCUGAGCGCACGCCUCUCCUCUGUGGGCCAGAGAAGCCCUCACUCAGCCUGAGAGUCUCUUGCAGGAAGAAGCCUCCUACUUGCCUGACCCAGGCCACUCCACAUGUUGCGCUGGGGCCGGGGAAGAUGAAACACACACAGCCCACCCGAGCAGCAACAACUGGGCUCAGCCCCAUGGCUCUCGCAAGAUGACUCCUAGCUGCCCGACAGCAUGAACACAAACAGGAAACGUGGUUAUGCGGGUUGCUGAGCCAGAUGACUGGGUGUGACAAAGAUUGCUCCCAGAUAAACAAGUCAGACUUGCACUCGAUGGCACUUCAGGAGAGAGUCAUUCAUCCACCACAGAGAUACCUGAGAAAUACCAAACACUGUAUUUUAUGGCUGUAUUUUGUCAUCAGGGAAGUCAUGAAUAAUUCCUCACGGAACUUUUGGAAGAUUAUCACUAGGAAUGUCAAAUAUGGUUACUGGGGUUCGAAGAUAGUCAGAUUUAAGACCUAUUUAUUUCCAAACCCUCAGGGUGGCAGAAGAUCUGGAUGGUGUCUGAAAACUGUCAUCAUAAGAAACAGACAGCUGCCAAUAACUCCCUAUGGCCACUCUGAAGGCAGCUAUCACAUGGGCCCACCGACGUUUUCUAGACAGAGAAACCUUCCAGCAAGCCUCACACCUGCCUUAAAGAAGGAGCAAGUGCAUCGUGAUGCUGAGUCCCCAUCAGACUAGACACGAGGCUGUGAAGACACAUCCACCCACACACUGAAGGGGAUGAGAUCCAGAACAAGGAGCAACCUUCCGCAAAAUGAGAACUUAUGGUGGUGACUCUACAUUGCCUUCAAGCCCAGCUGAGGUGCUGAAACUCAAUCUUUUCUCAUCUGCAAACUGCCCCUGCCCAGCCAGCUUGAGAGUCUGGCUCCUCCGAUGCAGAGCAGUGUGGCCAUCUGCCCAAGAUGCCAGUCAUAAUUUAAGGAAUCAGUGUGGACGCUACCUGACAUCUCCUGCCUUCCCCACCCCUCCCAGCUGGAGCCCCUAGAUGCCAUCCACCAGGAGACUCAGGCUCCUCAUUCCUCCAGGCAAUCCUGACUAAGCAGUGUCUCUCAAAGUUUAAUGUGCAAGCAGAUCAUCUGAGGUUCAGGCCAAAAUGGGUAUUCUGAUUCAUCAGGUUGGGUGAGGCCAGAGAUCCUGUAUUUCUAAGAAGUUCCCAGGCGAUGUCAAUGGUUCAUGAACUUCACUUUGAGUAGUAAGAAUGAGAAUGUGUAUAGACUAGCAACCUCAGCCUCACCUAGGGAUAGGGUCUGGAAUAUGUUGGGGUUUUUUCCCAUUUAUUAAUAAACAUUUAUUAAACACUC